UGGGGAAUAUUGCACAAUGGGCGCAAGCCUGAUGCAGCCAUGCCGCGUGUGUGAAGAAGGCCUUCGGGUUGUAAAGCACUUUCAGCGAGGAGGAAGGUGGUGAGCUUAAUACGCUCAUCAAUUGACGUUACUCGCAGAAGAAGCACCGGCUAACUCCGUGCCAGCAGCCGCGGUAAUACGGAGGGUGCAAGCGUUAAUCGGAAUUACUGGGCGUAAAGCGCACGCAGGCGGUUUGUUAAGUCAGAUGUGAAAAUCCCCGGGCUCAACCUGGGAACUGCAUUUGAAACUGGCAAGCUAGAGUCUCGUAGAGGGGGGUAGAAUUCCAGGUGUAGCGGUGAAAUGCGUAGAGAUCUGGAGGAAUACCGGUGGCGAAGGCGGCCCCCUGGACGAAGACUGACGCUCAGGUGCGAAAAGCGUGGGGCAGCAAACAGGAUUAGAUACCCUGGUAGUCCACGCUGUAAAACGAUGUCGGACUUUUGGAGGUUGUGCCCUUGAGGCGUGGCUUCCGGAGCUAACGCGUUAAAUCGACCGCCUGGGG
This 538-nucleotide ribosomal RNA is filed under the name uncultured bacterium. RNAcentral describes it as "partial 16S ribosomal RNA". It matches the Rfam family "Bacterial small subunit ribosomal RNA", at positions 355 to 878 of the family's 1533-position model. The record is from RNAcentral.